This 304-nucleotide long non-coding RNA is filed under the name Arabidopsis thaliana (thale cress). RNAcentral describes it as "long non-coding RNA (ATHA_LNC000495)". The record is from RNAcentral. Lineage: Eukaryota; Viridiplantae; Streptophyta; Magnoliopsida; Brassicales; Brassicaceae.
UUGAAGAUAUGUAUGAAAUCAUCAGGUCCCAAACUCGCAUCGUCAUGAAUCCCAAGAUGAACCACAGUCUCAUUUGUUGUCACCAUCUUUAAAACUGCUGUAAGUCCAUCUCUUCCAAUCUUUGUAUUGGAACCUCCAAACACAAUUGACCGCAAUGUGAUGUUAGCUUGUAAUUGCAGAGCAGAGAAUCUACUCAAUGGACAAAGCAAAUCCUCAACACCAACGCUCCCAAACCGAUUUCCAUCAACAUACAAACUCUGCAAGCUCUUGUUCUUGAAUAGUCCAGCUGCAAUAUAAACAACAG